Cebus imitator (Panamanian white-faced capuchin) is the source of this 768-nucleotide long non-coding RNA. RefSeq lists it as uncharacterized. The transcript has 2 exons. Lineage: Eukaryota; Metazoa; Chordata; Mammalia; Primates; Cebidae. The record is from RefSeq and is a predicted model, not a curated record.
AGCUAAUUUUUGUAUUUUUAGUAGAGACAGGGUCACACAGUUAAAUGUUGGUGUUAGGAUUCAAGUCCAUGAUGACCCCAGAUCUCAAGUUCUAAACAGUCACAUAAAUUUCAGAACAAGUAUGCUCUCUAACUAUUAAAUGGUUAGAUUUUAAAUGUCAUAUUUAAAUUAACUACUUAUUAGGCUGGCUCACGGUCAAAGUCAGUUAUGUCCCAAUUCAAUUAAGAAGAAAAGCUACAAACGUGUGGAUUUGUAACUUUAGAAUUACAAUGAGCUACUGAUGCUGGCAUAUUUUCACCAUAUCCAGCCAUUAAAGACGUUUCCGGUGCAACCGCUUUCCUUUUAUCAAUGUUUAUUCCCAGAAAUGCAAACCCGUCAAGUUAGAUGGUACAUAUCCAACUGUCCAACAGAGACGAUCAUCCACCUAAUCCUAAAUAGCAGCGCCCUGUGUUCUGAACGUAACUAGAUAGAUAAUACAGACCUACUUGGCAAAUUUUCAACAUUCUCUUUUGGAGCACGAAAGUACCUGGACCUCUCAAAGUGACUAAAACGUUUUGAAGGAAGCUAAACUAAAUGGAACCUUUGUUGAAGAACCAAAAAUUAAGCUUACUCAACUGGAUCCUUUAAAAAUGGAUUUUGUACUCCUUGAAAAUGCUUACUUGCGAAGAACAGAAAGAAAAAAAGCCUGGAUACUUUGAAUCCUAGGAAUCUUAACAGUAAAAUCUCCUACAAAUAUAAAUUGAAGUCAAUAAAGUAUCUUUCAUUUAC